RNAcentral lists this ribosomal RNA (467 nucleotides) under uncultured bacterium. Its description in RNAcentral is "bacterial SSU rRNA". It matches the Rfam family "Bacterial small subunit ribosomal RNA", at positions 337 to 796 of the family's 1533-position model. The record is from RNAcentral.
UCCUACGGGAGGCAGCAGUGGGGAAUAUUGCACAAUGGGGGGAACCCUGAUGCAGCCAUGCCGCGUGAAUGAAGAAGGCCUUCGGGUUGUAAAGUUCUUUCGGUGAUGAGGAAGGUGUUUUGUUUAAUAGACAAAGCAAUUGACGUUAGUCACAGAAGAAGCACCGGCUAACUCCGUGCCAGCAGCCGCGGUAAUACGGAGGGUGCGAGCGUUAAUCGGAAUAACUGGGCGUAAAGGGCACGCAGGCGGAUUGUUAAGUGAGAUGUGAAAGCCCCGGGCUUAACCUGGGAAUUGCAUUUCAGACUGGCAAUCUAGAGUAUUUUAGGGAGGGGUAGAAUUCCACGUGUAGCGGUGAAAUGCGUAGAGAUGUGGAGGAAUACCGAAGGCGAAGGCAGCCCCUUGGGAAUAUACUGACGCUCAUGUGCGAAAGCGUGGGGAGCAAACAGGAUUAGAUACCCUGGUAGUCC